GAUGAACGCUGGCGGCGUGCCUAAUACAUGCAAGUCGAGCGAACAGACGAGGAGCUUGCUCCUCUGACGUUAGCCGCGGACGGGUGAGUAACACGUGGAUAACCUCCCUAUAAGACUGGGAUCACUUCGGGAAACCGGAGCUAAUACCGGAUAAUAUAUUGAACCGCAUGGUUCAAUAGUAAAAGACGGUUUUGCUGUCUCUUGUAGAUGGAUCCGCGCCGUAUUAGCUAGUUGGUACGGUAGCGGCUUAUCAAGGCGACGACGGGUAGCCGGCCUGAGAGGGGGACCGGCCAGAUUGGGAAUGAGAUACGGACCAGACUCCUACGGGAGGCAGCAGUGGGGAAUAUUGCACAAUGGGCGGAAGGCGGAUGCAGCAACGCCGAGUGCGGGAUGACGGCCUUCGGGUUGUAAACCGCUUUCGCCUGUGACGAAGCGUGAGUGACGGUAAUGGGUAAAGAAGCACGGGCUAACUACGUG
Molecule: ribosomal RNA, 477 nt
Filed under: uncultured bacterium
Lineage: Bacteria
Description: partial 16S ribosomal RNA
Rfam family: Bacterial small subunit ribosomal RNA
Source: RNAcentral